UGAACUAUUUAUUAUCUUGUAUUCUGCAACUUAAAAAAAAUUCAUAUAUUGUAAAUGUCCUAGAGAAAUAUAGUAGCUUUCUGUUCACCCUUUGCUAGUGGAAAGGGUGGAUCGUUCCUCUACUGACAUAU
Molecule: small nucleolar RNA, 131 nt
Organism: Myotis lucifugus (little brown bat)
Lineage: Eukaryota; Metazoa; Chordata; Mammalia; Chiroptera; Vespertilionidae
Product: small Cajal body-specific RNA 24
Source: Ensembl